UGCUAUACUGCAGUCGUACGCUUCUUUUUCCACCGGAGCUUGCUCCACCGGAAAAAGAGGAGUGGCGAACGGGUGAGUAACACGUGGGUAACCUGCCCAUCAGAAGGGGAUAACACUUGGAAACAGGUGCUAAUACCGUAUAACAAUCGAAACCGCAUGGUUUUGAUUUGAAAGGCGCUUUCGGGUGUCGCUGAUGGAUGGACCCGCGGUGCAUUAGCUAGUUGGUGAGGUAACGGCUCACCAAGGCCACGAUGCAUAGCCGACCUGAGAGGGUGAUCGGCCACAUUGGGACUGAGACACGGCCCAAACUCCUACGGGAGGCAGCAGUAGGGAAUCUUCGGCAAUGGACGAAAGUCUGACCGAGCAACGCCGCGUGAGUGAAGAAGGUUUUCGGAUCGUAAAACUCUGUUGUUAGAGAAGAACAAGGAUGAGAGUAACUGUUCAUCCCUUGACGGUAUCUAACCAGAAAGCCACGGCUAACUACGUGCCAGCAGCCGCGGUAAUACGUAGGUGGCAAGCGUUGUCCGGAUUUAUUGGGCGUAAAGCGAGCGCAGGCGGUUUCUUAAGUCUGAUGUGAAAGCCCCCGGCUCAACCGGGGAGGGUCAUUGGAAACUGGGAGACUUGAGUGCAGAAGAGGAGAGUGGAAUUCCAUGUGUAGCGGUGAAAUGCGUAGAUAUAUGGAGGAACACCAGUGGCGAAGGCGGCUCUCUGGUCUGUAACUGACGCUGAGGCUCGAAAGCGUGGGGAGCAAACAGGAUUAGAUACCCUGGUAGUCCACGCCGUAAACGAUGAGUGCUAAGUGUUGGAGGGUUUCCGCCCUUCAGUGCUGCAGCUAACGCAUUAAGCACUCCGCCUGGGGAGUACGACCGCAAGGUUGAAACUCAAGGAAUUGACGGGGGCCCGCACAAGCGGUGGAGCAUGUG
RNAcentral lists this ribosomal RNA (923 nucleotides) under Enterococcus sp. C212. Its description in RNAcentral is "bacterial SSU rRNA". It matches the Rfam family "Bacterial small subunit ribosomal RNA", at positions 45 to 943 of the family's 1533-position model. The record is from RNAcentral. Lineage: Bacteria; Bacillati; Bacillota; Bacilli; Lactobacillales; Enterococcaceae.